AGUUGAUAUGACAGUUAUAAAGUUGAGAGAAGAGGGAGUUGACUCAUACAGGAGGUGUAACUGCUGAUGGACUGAAGAAAACACAAUGAUCCACUGCAACAAGGUUUAACCAAACAGCCAGAGACCACAAAAUGAUUGUCCUAUUUUAUUUUAUCUUCAGCGCGACUUUAAACAAUAUUUUGGUUUCAGGUUCCUCUCUCAGUCACAAAGUCCAGCAGAGUCCAGCUAACAUUUACAACAAACCAGCAGAAACAGCCAAAAUCACCAAUUAACAAGUCGCAACCUCCCAUGAUGUCAACAAUUGGUUUGUGAAAUACCUUCUUGAAACCACCAUCUUUAUUUUUCCCUUUUGAAACCAGGAGCAGCCAUACAGGAGCAAGACUUAGAGCCUACACCUGCCAUUGAAUGAGAGUUGCUGUUAAUCACAUGGUUUCCAGGCCCCAUUGCAAAAAGUAAUUUUUCAUCUGUUUGACUCUAAAUGGGACCAUCAUGCUAUAAUGAGGAAGACUUGGAACCUGCGAUUGAGACUGUAAACUCCUUAGGAAAAUGGUCUAUGCCAGUUUAACCACCAUGAAAACACAGACAGAUUUACAUGUGGUGACACUCCCACCUUCAACUCUUCAUGACGCUGUAACAUACGAGGACUCAAACACUUUCUGACUGACAUGGAAAUUACCAGCAUCAAACAAGACCUUCUCAUAUCAUGUGUCCUUUUUCUGUGGACUACAGGUCUGUCUGAUGGCAACGAGGUCACCCAAACACCCAUACUGUGGAAAGACACGGGUGAAAAUGCAACAAUACACUGCAGCCACACCAAGGGUUCCACCUUUUUCCAGAUGUACUGGUACAGGCAGCUCCCGGGAGAGACGCUGAACCAAAUACUGUUUAUGUCUUCAAACAAAAAACGUGAAUAUGAACCUGGAUUCAGUGAAGGGAAGUUCUCAGCCACCAAGCCUGAUACGUACAGUGGGACAUUGACAGUAAAGAAUCUGGUGCAGGAUGACAAAGGCUUGUAUUUCUGUGCAGUCAGUAA
Long non-coding RNA from Hippoglossus stenolepis (Pacific halibut), 1033 nucleotides. RefSeq lists it as uncharacterized. Lineage: Eukaryota; Metazoa; Chordata; Actinopteri; Pleuronectiformes; Pleuronectidae. The record is from RefSeq and is a predicted model, not a curated record. The transcript has 3 exons.